Molecule: ribosomal RNA, 790 nt
Filed under: uncultured bacterium
Lineage: Bacteria
Description: bacterial SSU rRNA
Rfam family: Bacterial small subunit ribosomal RNA
Source: RNAcentral
AGAGUUUGAUCAUGGCUCAGGAUGAACGCUAGCGGGAGGCCUAACACAUGCAAGCCGAGCGGUAUUGUUUCUUCGGAAAUGAGAGAGCGGCGUACGGGUGCGGAACACGUGUGCAACCUGCCUUUAUCUGGGGGAUAGCCUUUCGAAAGAAAGAUUAAUACUCCAUAAUAUAUUGAACGGCAUCGUUUAAUAUUGAAAGCUCCGGCGGAUAGAGAUGGGCACGCGCAAGAUUAGCUAGUUGGUGAGGUAACGGCUCACCAAGGCGAUGAUCUUUAGGGGGCCUGAGAGGGUGAUCCCCCACACUGGUACUGAGACACGGACCAGACUCCUACGGGAGGCAGCAGUGAGGAAUAUUGGUCAAUGGGUGCAAGCCUGAACCAGCCAUCCCGCGUGAAGGACGACUGCCCUAUGGGUUGUAAACUUCUUUUGUAUAGGGAUAAACCUACCCUCGUGAGGGUAGCUGAAGGUACUAUACGAAUAAGCACCGGCUAACUCCGUGCCAGCAGCCGCGGUAAUACGGAGGGUGUAAGCGUUAUCCGGAUUUAUUGGGUUUAAAGGGUCCGUAGGCGGACUUAUAAGUCAGUGGUGAAAGCCUGUCGCUUAACGAUAGAACUGCCAUUGAUACUGUAAGUCUUGAGUAUAUUUGAGGUAGCUGGAAUAAGUAGUGUAGCGGUGAAAUGCAUAGAUAUUACUUAGAACACCAAUUGCGAAGGCAGGUUACCAAGAUAUAACUGACGCUGAGGGACGAAAGCGUGGGGAGCGAACAGGAUUAGAUACCCCGGUAGUCCAA